RNAcentral lists this long non-coding RNA (1461 nucleotides) under Olea europaea subsp. europaea. The record is from RNAcentral. Lineage: Eukaryota; Viridiplantae; Streptophyta; Magnoliopsida; Lamiales; Oleaceae.
GCUUGGUCGGAUAUUUGGGACUGGGCCAGAUGGGAAGGGGUUUGGAUCCUGUAAUAGAGAUGGGCCACCUGAGGUUAGUGUUUGGAGAGUGGGCAUGGGUCGUAAAGAGUAGGCUGAGUUAGUUGGGCUAAAUGGGCUUGAAUGCUAGGGUUUGGGAUUUGUGGAACAACACCACAAUUUUUAUUUUUUUUUUUUAUGAGCAGCAGCAAAAAAAAAUGAGAAAUUUUUUUUUUUAGGCAUGAAAAGUACUCGUGAACAGUAACUUUUUUUUUUUUUUAAGAAACUGACCAAAAUACUAAAUUGAAAUUCUGCGUGAACAGUACCUGCGAUGAACAGUAAACUUUUUUUUUUUUUUCAACUAAGACUGAAAAUUGAAGAAGAAGAAAAAAAACUGCUGCCUUUACCAAAAAUUCUUUUAGUUCGUGCUGUUCCAACAGAUUUUGGGAAGGAAAUAUGAAUAAAUUUUGGAUUAAAGAAAAGAAAUUACCUAUGGUUCGGCUCUGAUACCAAAUUUGAUGUAGGAUGAAUAAGAAAGAAAGAAGAAGGAACGGGGAGGAGAAACAUAGAGAAGGGAGAAGAGGAGAAGAAACUAGGGAAAGAGAGGGGAGGGAGAAAACGGCUGCAAGCCACCAAAAAUAUUUCAAUUCUAAUUCAUCAUCGUCUGAAAAUUACAAUGCAAGAUAGAUUUAAUCAGUAAAGCAACCCUAACGAGCUUGGACCCGAGCCCAUACAAGUCCAAAUUUAAAUAAUAGUCCAAGAAAAUAAAUAAAGCUUAAAUAAAAUAAGUAAACGUCGUCCGAUAUCCUCAUCAGAAUGUCAUAGAGUUGAUUCCAUUGAAAUCAUCGAAAUAAGGAGCUACGUGGAGUAAACAAACAAACUGAGUUCCGGCUUUAAUUAAAAACAAGCAAAACAGAAUAAAUAGGUAACGAAUCCAAGAAAAUACUCAAAUGUGUCUUUAUUAUGCAUGUCUUUUAAUUCCCGUUAAUUUUUUUUUACUGUUGUUUUCUAUAUGCUAGUCAUUCCUUUUUUUUUUUAAUGACCAUGGGUGUCCGAGCCAGUUCACGUGCACCUCGAUUAAUCCCACGGGGCCCUAAAGUUUACAAUCAAAUACUCACCUCAGUGGCCUGGCCUAUAGGGAACUCGAAUUGGUGACCACUGGAGAGCAAAUCCAAAAUCUGAUCACUGAGCUAUCCACACAUUAAAAACAAAUAUCUGGAAGCAAUCAGAUUUCUUCCUAUUGUGCAUGUGCCAAGGAUUGUCUUCAUAGUUUUUAUUGUCAUUCCUGUCUGUGUCCAAAACAUACUUGUAACAAUUAAAGACGAGACAUAAUGAAACCAAAAGACGAAAAACGUUAUAAAUACACAUGAAAGUCAUGACAUUCUUAGAAGGAUAGACAGAUAGAAGCAGGUAAGUGCUAAGGAAGAAAUUGGAGAAAGAAAAGGGGAAUCAAAUAUGGAACUG